This 240-nucleotide ribosomal RNA is filed under the name Triticum aestivum (bread wheat). RNAcentral's name for it is "partial small subunit ribosomal RNA". Lineage: Eukaryota; Viridiplantae; Streptophyta; Magnoliopsida; Poales; Poaceae. The record is from RNAcentral.
AUGGACAGGGUCAGUUGCUCCUAUCUGGACGAGCUUUGUCAGGGUCAUGUGGUUGCUGCUGCUACCGCUUUGUCGGUGUCAAGGGUCAAUAAAACUCAGUUAUGCAGAUUGCCCAAUAGGUGCCAAACAGAUCCCCAAACCGAAACCCUGGCUCCUCUCUCUGCUCGGCACCGCCUACACCAGCGGCUUCGACAGUCAAUCCUCAGCGCCUGUCGCGACAAAGCUCUGGAAGGAGUGUGA